Molecule: ribosomal RNA, 468 nt
Filed under: uncultured bacterium
Lineage: Bacteria
Description: partial 16S ribosomal RNA
Rfam family: Bacterial small subunit ribosomal RNA
Source: RNAcentral
GACGAACGCUGGCGGCGUGCUUAACACAUGCAAGUCGAACGGAAAGGCCCUGCUUUUGUGGGGUGCUCGAGUGGCGAACGGGUGAGUAACACGUGAGUAACCUGUCCUUGACUUUGGGAUAACUUCAGGAAACUGGGGCUAAUACCGGAUAGGAGCUCCUGCUGCAUGGUGGGGGUUGGAAAGUUUCGGCGGUUGGGGAUGGACUCGCGGCUUAUCAGCUUGUUGGUGGGGUAGUGGCUUACCAAGGCUUUGACGGGUAGCCGGCCUGAGAGGGUGACCGGCCACAUUGGGACUGAGAUACGGCACAGACUCCUACGGGAGGCAGCAGUGGGGAAGAUUGCACGAUGGGCGGAAGCCUGAUGCAGCAACGCCGCGUGCGGGAUGACGGCCUUCGGGUUGUAAACCGCUUUCGCCUGUGACGAAGCGUGAGUGACGGUAAUGGGUAAAGAAGCACCGGCUAACUACGUG